Molecule: long non-coding RNA, 667 nt
Filed under: Fukomys damarensis (Damara mole-rat)
Lineage: Eukaryota; Metazoa; Chordata; Mammalia; Rodentia; Bathyergidae
Description: lncRNA (ENSFDAG00000024726.1)
Source: RNAcentral
GUGGCUUGAAAUCCUCUCUAUUCUAUUGGAUGUUGCUGGGGGAGGAAACGUUAAGUCUAGGGGAGGGGGAGUUUGGUGAAGGUUAUGGAGUUUGGCUCAUCUCCUGUGGGUGGUGGUUAUCUGCACAGACUGUCCUGUUUUUUUCUCCUUCUUUUCAAGGUUGGAAUGGCCUUGCUCACCCACUUGGUUCUGCUGUCAUCUCAACUAAGCAAGCUAAACAAAUUUCUGCUGUCUGAGCCUGUGUGUGUGUGGGGCAAGUCUGACACUGGAUGGCUUUUUAGCUCAAAAUGGAGUAACUUUGGCCUUAGUAAAAAUGGAGAAACUUUGGCUCCUCAACAUGAUAAUUGGAGAGAGAAAAGUUCACGGAAGUCGCAUGAUAUCAGCGGUUCUCACAGACGUGCAUUAAUAUUACCAGGAGGCCAUGUUAAAGCACAGAUUGCAGGUCCUCACCCCAGAGUCCUUGCUUAACAGGUUUCAUCUGGAGCUCAAGAAUUUGCUUUUAACAAGAUCCCAGGUGAUGCUGGUGCUGCUUGAUUGGGACUCAUGAGACACUGGUCUCAUUCAGGACACUUCAAGAGUCACUGUCAGAAGCUUUACUUUUGGGCUGGGGAUUUAGCUCAGUGGCACCGUGCCUGCCUCACAAGUGCUAAGGGCCUGGUUCUAUCCU